This 497-nucleotide ribosomal RNA is filed under the name uncultured bacterium. Its description in RNAcentral is "partial 16S ribosomal RNA". It matches the Rfam family "Bacterial small subunit ribosomal RNA", at positions 28 to 507 of the family's 1533-position model. The record is from RNAcentral.
GAUGAACGCUGGCGGCGUGCCUAAUACAUGCAAGUCGAGCGAACAGACGAGGAGCUUGCUCCUCUGACGUUAGCGGCGGACGGGUGAGUAACACGUGGAUAACCUACCUAUAAGACUGGGAUAACUUCGGGAAACCGGAGCUAAUACCGGAUAAUAUAUUGAACCGCAUGGUUCAAUAGUGAAAGACGGUUUUGCUGUCACUUAUAGAUGGAUCCGCGCCGCAUUAGCUCGUUGGUAAGGUAACGGCUUACCAAGGCAACGAUGCGUAGCCGACCUGAGAGGGUGAUCGGCCACACUGGAACUGAGACACGGUCCAGACUCCUACGGGAGGCAGCAGUAGGGAAUCUUCCGCAAAGGGCGAAAGCCUGACGGAGCAACGCCGCGUGAGUGAUGAAGGUCUUCGGAUCGUAAAACUCUGUUAUUAGGGAAGAACAAAUGUGUAAGUAACUAUGCACGUCUUGACGGUACCUAAUCAGAAAGCCACGGCUAACUACGUG